UGGAGACAAAGAAAAAGAUGAWGGGUUGACCUUUGGAAAGUGUGCUACCCUGAAAGCCUGGAGAACAUGGACACCAAGAAAGUCUUUCAUUUUGUUCCUUCUGAGCUGCAGGAUGAGGAGCGGGAGGAUUUUGGGGAGGACUCGCCGACUACUAACAAAGAAAGCAUAUAUGAAAAUGAAAUCAGUAUUUCAGAUUCGGAAGGACCUGGAUUUGGACUWUUAAACACAAUAAA
This is a long non-coding RNA of Austrofundulus limnaeus, 233 nucleotides long. RefSeq lists it as uncharacterized. The record is from RefSeq and is a predicted model, not a curated record. The transcript is spliced from 3 exons. NCBI's taxonomy places the organism in Eukaryota, Metazoa, Chordata, Actinopteri, Cyprinodontiformes, Rivulidae.